Molecule: non-coding RNA, 82 nt
Organism: Populus trichocarpa (black cottonwood)
Lineage: Eukaryota; Viridiplantae; Streptophyta; Magnoliopsida; Malpighiales; Salicaceae
Source: Rfam
CUUUUUAAGAUUUAAUGUCAACGUCUCUGACGAGUCUUCUAUUUUUAGGGAUUGAUGUCAUUUUCUGACAUGUUUAAAGACC